This 562-nucleotide ribosomal RNA is filed under the name Vibrio cholerae. Its description in RNAcentral is "partial 23S ribosomal RNA". It matches the Rfam family "Bacterial large subunit ribosomal RNA", at positions 2236 to 2797 of the family's 2925-position model. Lineage: Bacteria; Pseudomonadati; Pseudomonadota; Gammaproteobacteria; Vibrionales; Vibrionaceae. The record is from RNAcentral.
UUAUCCGGGUUGAGGACAGUGCCUGGUGGGUAGUUUGACUGGGGCGGUCUCCUCCCAAAGAGUAACGGAGGAGCACGAAGGUGGGCUAAUCACGGUUGGACAUCGUGAGGUUAGUGCAAUGGCAUAAGCCCGCUUAACUGCGAGAAUGACGGUUCGAGCAGGUGCGAAAGCAGGUCAUAGUGAUCCGGUGGUUCUGUAUGGAAGGGCCAUCGCUCAACGGAUAAAAGGUACUCCGGGGAUAACAGGCUGAUACCGCCCAAGAGUUCAUAUCGACGGCGGUGUUUGGCACCUCGAUGUCGGCUCAUCACAUCCUGGGGCUGAAGUCGGUCCCAAGGGUAUGGCUGUUCGCCAUUUAAAGUGGUACGCGAGCUGGGUUUAGAACGUCGUGAGACAGUUCGGUCCCUAUCUGCCGUGGGCGUUGGAAGAUUGAAGGGGGCUGCUCCUAGUACGAGAGGACCGGAGUGGACGAACCUCUGGUGUUCGGGUUGUGUCGCCAGACGCAUUGCCCGGUAGCUAAGUUCGGAAUUGAUAAGCGCUGAAAGCAUCUAAGCGCGAAGCGAGC